GCGAUGGGUUCAAGUGUGGACAUGUGACUUCAGCAAGGCUGAUGUGAUGCAAUUUGGGAAUAUUUAUAGCAGAUGUCAAGAAAGAGGAGUUUCUUUUUGUGGUUACAGCAAGCUGGGCACCUGGUCCUGCUCAGUCGGUGAGGUUGAUGAGCUACAGCGGACUGAGGUCACUCGUCAGCCCCCCAACACUGAUGCAACACCUACUGUGUGCUGGCCUCUGUUCUGGGUACAGAAGUGAGAAGUGGGUAUGACAGAUGAGGGCCCUGUUCUUAGGGAACUGACAUCACGAUCUAGCAACUGAGUGAGCAAGAAGACAUCCAAGAGCCACGGGCUGAGGUAGCUGAAAAUAAGACUCCAGAUUUGAUCAUGGGGUUGCAGAAUCCCAGCACAAAUUGAAUGAACAGCCAUGACAGAUGUGUUGCAUAAAUGUUGAGGCACUGAUUGAAAAGGAAAGGAAUACUGAGAAUUGGAACGGGGCAUCUUAUUGAACUCAGAAGAGCUGUCUGAAAACAGCUGGGUCUCCCUGUCUACAGAGACACAUUCUUCCCUUCUUCGAAACCCUGUAGCAACCUCCCAUGAGCAAGUUUCCUUGCAAGAGGGUGCUAUCUUCAGAGCCUGGUAUGCUGCAGGAAACAAGUCCAAAAUUCGACCCAGGAGGAGGUAAUUUAUAUCUUCAUGCCUGGGGAAGGGACAAGCCAUGGCCCAGAACGGAAGAUGAGAAGAUGAACAUCCUUGUGCUAUGGUCUCAGUUGCAGGAUGGCUUUGGGCCAGGGUCUACUUCUCCACCUCUGCCCUGGGGGCAAGUCACAUCACUUGUUUGGCCAAUGGGACAUCAGCAAAUGCGUCACUGGCAGACACUGGAAAAUUACCUGCAUGCUGGAGCUUGCUCCCUCUUGCUACCCUUGAACCCAAGACUGUCCUAGGGAUGAGCCUGGGCUAACCUGCAGCCAGAGAAUAAGAAGCCAAGUGGAGAGUCAAGGUGCAAUGGCCAACAGAACUGCUGCCAUCAAGACAUGGCAGUGAGCCACUCUUGAACUGAUCACAGUUUCCACAUCUUUGCAAUGACUCUCCCAGCUCAAAGCCUCCAUCCCAGCUCCCAGAACUGCUGUGCAGCAUUCCGGAUCAUGAAGGACCAGAGCCAUGUGGUCCAGUGGUGAGGGUCUCAGAGGACGGGCUGUGACCCAAGGCACCCGCCUAGCCGGCAGCUCUAAGUGCCAAGGAGGGAAAGAUGCGGCUGCCCAGUUUUCUCGCUCCUUCCAGACCAGGCCAAGGCCUGUGUACUCCCCGUGACCUCCUCCCAGAAUCUUCUUCAUCCCGCCUCACCCAGACACCAGGCCAAGCGGGGACUUCAGCACACAUGAAGCUGGCCUGGAUGGAAGCUCCCCACCUGUCACUGUCCUGCUGAGCAUCCUGGGCAAGCCCAUCCCUCUUGGGGCCUCAGGCUCCCCAUCUGUGGAGGGAACAGUUUCCACUGAUCCCCACGGAUGACCUAGAAGGAGCUAGCAGUCUGUGAGUUGAUGUGUGAGGACAUGCAGCUUGUGCAUGAAUGUGCACACGUGUGUGCAUGUGCACAUGCCUGGGCAAGAGUGCGUGCGCGCACGCGCGCACACACACACACACACACACACACACACAUAGAUCCUCAGUCAGGGGAAGUCAACUGUCAAGCACAGUAUUUUAAAAUGUGCUUAUUUAUUUGGCUUGUUUGCGCCCUAUCUCCUCGGCUGCCUUUAUAAAUAUUUAUCAAUGUUGUCACAGUGACAUUUCCUGGGAGGAGGUGAGAACUGGAGGGAGAAAGGAUGUCAGAGGGGAGCAGACAGGUUGAGGGAGCAGGGGAGGAUGGCCCAGUCCCAGCAGUGGACCAGGAUGGGGGAGGGCUGACGCCACAGGAGGAGGGAGAGGGCCCUUGACACAGAGACCUGAUUCAGGGGUCCAGAAGCAGGACCCACAUUUCAAGAUGUCCCUAAGGAUGAAAUAAGGAUGAGUGGGGAACAUGACGAGCCACGUGCCUCUGCCACUGCUGUGUGAGCUUGCACAAGGCCCCUCACCAUCCACGGGGUUGUCUAUUAAACACCAACUGUUCUGAGUAUUCACUUCAUUCACUAUUUACAAACGACUCUGUGAUGAAGGCACUGGUCUCCCCAUUUUACAGAUAGGGAAAACAAGGCAUUGGGAUUAGUUACCUGCCCAAGACAGCCAGUUCUGAAGCACAGAGCCCGGAUCUAAACAUAGGCAGCUCGUUGCAGAGCUCCUGCCCUUAACCACUACUCCAUCUGGAUGUAUCAUUUGUAUCUUUAACGAUUAUUCCUUAGAGCCCCCUCCCCCUCCGUACACAGCCGGUCUCAGUCUUGCUCCUGGGGUAACAGAGAUGACCAAGGCAGGCCCUCUACCUGGUUGGCAGAGCUCAGGGUCUUGUGGGGAACCUAAGGACAUGUUAACCUGACAGCGCUGCUGUGUAGUGGGUGUUCAGAGGACAUUUAGGAGGGUGGCUCUGCGGCAGCCCCAGUGGCGCAGCAGUUUAGCGUCUGCCUUCAGCCCAGGGCCUGAUCCUGGAGACCUGGGAUCGAGUCCCACAUCGGGCUCCCUGCAUGGAGCCUGCUUCUCCC
Canis lupus familiaris (dog) is the source of this 2606-nucleotide long non-coding RNA. RefSeq lists it as uncharacterized. The transcript has 7 exons. Lineage: Eukaryota; Metazoa; Chordata; Mammalia; Carnivora; Canidae. The record is from RefSeq and is a predicted model, not a curated record.